GGGCGCAUCCGUCAACGGGAUAGGCGCGGGCCUUCUAAGCCCGGAAUCGGGGUUCGAGUCCUCGUGCGCUCGCCA
RNAcentral lists this transfer RNA (75 nucleotides) under Bradyrhizobium sp. C9. RNAcentral describes it as "tRNA-Arg". It matches the Rfam family "tRNA". Rfam says of the family: Transfer RNA (tRNA) molecules are approximately 80 nucleotides in length. Their secondary structure includes four short double-helical elements and three loops (D, anti-codon, and T loops). Further hydrogen bonds mediate the characteristic L-shaped molecular structure. tRNAs have two regions of fundamental functional importance: the anti-codon, which is responsible for specific mRNA codon recognition, and the 3' end, to which the tRNAs corresponding amino acid is attached (by aminoacyl-tRNA synthetases). tRNAs cope with the degeneracy of the genetic code in two manners: having more than one tRNA (with a specific anti-codon) for a particular amino acid; and 'wobble' base-pairing, i.e. permitting non-standard base-pairing at the 3rd anti-codon position. Lineage: Bacteria; Pseudomonadati; Pseudomonadota; Alphaproteobacteria; Hyphomicrobiales; Nitrobacteraceae. The record is from RNAcentral.